AACGAACGCUGGCGGCGCGCUUAACACAUGCAAGUCGAACGGAAAGGCCUGCUUUCCCUUGUGGAUUGCGGGUACUCGAGUGGCGAACGGGUGAGUAACACGUGAGUGAUCUGCCCCCAACUUGGGUAUAAGCCUGGGAAACUGGGUCUAAUUCCCGAUAGGACUGCAGGGUGGUGCCUGUGGUGGAAAACGAUUUUCUAGUGGUUGGGGAUGAGCUCGCGGCCUAUCAGCUUGUUGGUGGGGUAAUGGCCUACCAAGGCGGCGGCGGGUAGCCGGCCUGAGAGGGUGGACGGCCACAGUGGGACUGAGAUACGGCCCAGACUCCUACGGGAGGCAGCAGUGGGGAAUAUUGCACAAUGGGCGGAAGCCUGAUGCAGCGACGCCGCGUGGGGGAUGACGGCCUUCGGGUUGUAAACUCCUUUCGACCGCGAGGAAGCCACCUGGUUGGAAGGGUGGUGACGGUAGUGGUAGAAGAAGCACCGGCUAACUACGUG
RNAcentral lists this ribosomal RNA (494 nucleotides) under uncultured bacterium. RNAcentral describes it as "partial 16S ribosomal RNA". It matches the Rfam family "Bacterial small subunit ribosomal RNA", at positions 28 to 507 of the family's 1533-position model. The record is from RNAcentral.